UCAAUGCACUUACGUGCGAAGGGGCUACCUCGAGUGCCACCUGAUGAAGGUGGCUUUUCCUAGGUCUAAAAAGCCUUGGGAAUAAGAGGGGGGCAAGACUGGUGUCAGCCGCCGCGGUAACACCAGCCCCUCGAGUGGUGGGGAUGAUUAUUUGGCCUAAAGCGUCCGUAGCCUGCCGGAUAAGUUUCCCGUUAAAUCCAACGUCUCAAGCGUUGGACUGCGGGAAAUACUGUCUGGCUAGAGAGUGGGAGAGGUCAGCGGUAUUCUGGGGGUAGGGGCGAAAUCCUUUGAUCCCCGGAGGACCACCAGUGGCGAAGGCGGUCGACUAGGACGUGCCCGACGGUGAGGGACGAAAGCUGGGGUAGCGAACCGGAUUAGAUACCCGGGUAGUCCCAGCUGUAAACGAUGCGGGCUAGCUGUUGGGACAGCCACGAGCUGCCCCAGUGGCGCAGAGAAGUUGUUAAGCCCGCCGCCUGGGGAGUACGAUCGCAAGAUUGAAACUUAA
RNAcentral lists this ribosomal RNA (505 nucleotides) under uncultured archaeon. RNAcentral describes it as "bacterial SSU rRNA". It matches the Rfam family "Archaeal small subunit ribosomal RNA", at positions 352 to 859 of the family's 1478-position model. The record is from RNAcentral.